UAGCAUGUGGUUAGAUAUUGUUUUGAACAUAGUACAUUGUUUUAGCUUGAUGUAAGUUGAGUUUUCAAGAAAACUUCAACAUUUGGAAAAACUAGAAAUGAUAAACUUGGAUUAAUGUAUAUUAUGAUUUUGUGAGCAUAAGUAAAUAACCUAGGAAUGCACAUACAUGAGUAUAACAUAAGGCAUGAACUGGCUUGGUGUAUAAUAGAGUUUUCUAGCUUGGUUGUAGAGGAUUUCUAAAGGAAAACUUGAAGUUUUGCAAAACAAAGUAUGAUGAGCAUUAUGUUUCAAAUUCUUAUAUUUCUAGCUUAUGUAAAUAACUUGAGUAUAUGCACAAAUAUGUACGAAAAUAGGAUUUAGACAGUGUGUGCUUAUCUUGCAUGCUUAAAUAAGU
Molecule: long non-coding RNA, 394 nt
Filed under: Panax ginseng (ginseng)
Lineage: Eukaryota; Viridiplantae; Streptophyta; Magnoliopsida; Apiales; Araliaceae
Description: long non-coding RNA (PGIN_LNC010846)
Source: RNAcentral